This is a non-coding RNA of Chiloscyllium plagiosum (whitespotted bambooshark), 288 nucleotides long. The record is from RefSeq and is a predicted model, not a curated record. NCBI's taxonomy places the organism in Eukaryota, Metazoa, Chordata, Chondrichthyes, Orectolobiformes, Hemiscylliidae.
UACAAAUCAUCUGUUGGAGAGAUGUGAAAACCUGAAGUUGUAGUCUGGUUUCUGGGCCUCCAAAACACCAGAGAUUGGGACUUAGAGUCAUAGAAAUGUACGGGACUUCUCCUUACUCAUUUGCCCAUGCCAAAAUCCUUUCACAAAUUCUGGAGGACAGAAGAGGAAGGCCAGGCAAACAGAAAUUGUGAAAUGCGUGGUAAAAUAUCAACAGGUAGAAACUGCGGGGUCUUCUACGAGUUGGAAGAGGACUUGGACACAAUGGAAGUAUGUUUGGGGAUAACAGGG